CGAGUGAAGUGGGAAAAGCUCAACUUUAAAAUCUGGCAGUUUCACUGUCCGAGUUGUAGUCUCGAGAAGCGUUUUCCGUGUUGAAGCAUGCAUGAGUCUGUUGGAAUACAGCGUCAUAGAGGGUGAGAACCCCGUUCGUGGUAUGCCUUUCAAUACUUUGUGAUACGUUUUCGAUGAGUCGAGUUGUUUGGGAAUGCAGCUCAAAAUGGGUGGUAAAUUCCAUCUAAAGCUAAAUAUUGGCGGGAGACCGAUAGCAAACAAGUACCGUGAGGGAAAGAUGAAAAGCACUUUGGAAAGAGAGUUAAAAGUACGUGAAAUUGUCGAAAGGGAAACGCUUGAAGUCGGACGUGCAGGGCAACUUGCAGGCCAACAUCGGUUUCAUUAGCCGGAUAAAGGCAGAGGAAUGUGGCAGCUCCGGCUGUGUUAUAGCCUUUGACUGAAUACGGAUAGAGAGACCGAGGACCGCAGCUUACGCUUAGGAUGUUGGUGGAACGGCUUUAAACGACCCGG
This 510-nucleotide ribosomal RNA is filed under the name Pucciniomycotina sp. RP. RNAcentral's name for it is "LSU rRNA". It matches the Rfam family "Eukaryotic large subunit ribosomal RNA", at positions 90 to 652 of the family's 3401-position model. Lineage: Eukaryota; Fungi; Basidiomycota. The record is from RNAcentral.